Molecule: ribosomal RNA, 253 nt
Filed under: uncultured bacterium
Lineage: Bacteria
Description: partial 16S ribosomal RNA
Rfam family: Bacterial small subunit ribosomal RNA
Source: RNAcentral
UACGUAGGGUGCAAGCGUUGUCCGGAAUUAUUGGGCGUAAAGAGCUCGUAGGCGGUUCGUCGCGUCGGCUGUGAAAACCCGGAGCUCAACUCCGGGCCUGCAGUCGAUACGGGCGGACUUGAGUGUUGCAGGGGAGACUGGAAUUCCUGGUGUAGCGGUGAAAUGCGCAGAUAUCAGGAGGAACACCGGUGGCGAAGGCGGGUCUCUGGGCAACUACUGACGCUGAGGAGCGAAAGCGUGGGGAGCAAACAGG